This 74-nucleotide transfer RNA is filed under the name Promethearchaeota archaeon. RNAcentral's name for it is "Candidatus Lokiarchaeota archaeon (marine sediment metagenome) tRNA-Pro". It matches the Rfam family "tRNA". Rfam says of the family: Transfer RNA (tRNA) molecules are approximately 80 nucleotides in length. Their secondary structure includes four short double-helical elements and three loops (D, anti-codon, and T loops). The record is from RNAcentral. Lineage: Archaea; Promethearchaeati; Promethearchaeota.
GGGAAGGUGGUCUAGCUUGGAAUGAUUCUCGGUUCGGAACUGAGCGGUCGGGGGUUCAAUUCCCCCCUUUCCCA